GAUAACUAUGUAUUCGUUUUUUGUCAUCCCCCCCCCAAGAUGGCAGUACAAUAGCUGGAAAUAAUGGCAAAUGUUGAGGUGAAAGAGGUGGCAGUAAAAUCGGGGCAAUAUAUAAACCAUAAUCGUUCAUUUUGUAAUGAUGGGUGUGGUCGCUAGGGGAACCAUAUGUAUAGGGUAGUGAGGGAAUGGUCCGUCGCCCAAAAAAUUUAGGUCGUCUUUGGCGACUUCAUUGAAUGUUCCUGUGUCCAGCAAUAACCAAAUUUCCCAUACAGCGAUUAAAGAUCUGUCUUUAGAGACACAAUCGGUGUCCAUCAAGUGUCUGGUGUUUGGCAAAAGUGCCGUAAACCAAACAUCAUCAGUGAAAUACACCAUUUUACUGAGUGAUGGAUCGGGAACAAUAAAGGCUGAAGGCUGGGGUCAACCUGGUUUGGCCUUCUUCGAAUCUGUUAUUGUCGGCUUAUGUUAUAGCUUAUCUAGCUUUGCCAUUAGGGAUCUCAAGGAGAGAUUUUUUAAAUUUUCCUGGUUAAAGAAUCCCCUUUAUAUAUCCGUGGGAUCCUCUUCCAAAGCCAUUCCGGAUGCGGAUAUUGAUAUAGAAGACUUCAACUAGGAUUUCAUUUCACUUAGGGCGUUAAGUAGAAAAGGACAAGGGGAAACGUUCGCCAUUGUAGGGGCCGUCAUCGACGAUUCGGGGGACAUCGUUAUCAAUGUCAACAACAGAAACCUAACAAAGAGGGACAUUACAAUUACCGAUCAGCUUAACGUAAAGGUCAUCGUUACCAUGUGGGCCAGGGCCGCCCAAUUUGUCCAAGCCCUACACGAUAGCAAUCAAGAUUCCCCCGUGGUUGCCUUUUGUGGGGUGCGCCGGAACAUGUUUCCGCAGAAGCAUUCGUUGGUUGUCAUCGAUUGCUUCGAUGACACCUUUAUUGAUUUUUCACCGGUAUGCCGCCAAGCGCAAGAAAUUCAAGAUUACUUGAUCAGGACUAAAAAGGAGCAAGAUACAGUUGCCAUUCCUGAGAAUUCAGAGGAUAAAUCAAGAAAAUGAAAAAAGGAAAAUUGUUAAUGGCACACCAAGAUACAAUUUCAUUUAAUAAAUCGAAGUCCUCAUUCCACAA
RNAcentral lists this long non-coding RNA (1112 nucleotides) under Daphnia pulex (common water flea). Its description in RNAcentral is "uncharacterized LOC124204319, transcript variant X2". The record is from RNAcentral. Lineage: Eukaryota; Metazoa; Arthropoda; Branchiopoda; Diplostraca; Daphniidae.